GCCUGAGUGGCUCAGUUGGUUAAGCAUCUGACUUUGGCUCAGGUCAUGAUCUCACGGUUUGUGAGUUCGAGUCCCACGUUGGGUG
Molecule: transfer RNA, 85 nt
Filed under: Felis catus (domestic cat)
Lineage: Eukaryota; Metazoa; Chordata; Mammalia; Carnivora; Felidae
Also listed under: 4 other names
Rfam family: tRNA
About the family: Transfer RNA (tRNA) molecules are approximately 80 nucleotides in length. Their secondary structure includes four short double-helical elements and three loops (D, anti-codon, and T loops). Further hydrogen bonds mediate the characteristic L-shaped molecular structure. tRNAs have two regions of fundamental functional importance: the anti-codon, which is responsible for specific mRNA codon recognition, and the 3' end, to which the tRNAs corresponding amino acid is attached (by aminoacyl-tRNA synthetases). tRNAs cope with the degeneracy of the genetic code in two manners: having more than one tRNA (with a specific anti-codon) for a particular amino acid; and 'wobble' base-pairing, i.e. permitting non-standard base-pairing at the 3rd anti-codon position.
Source: Rfam by way of RNAcentral